GGGACCCGGAAGUGGGGGGCUGCGGCGGGAGGUGAGGGCCGCCUGCCUGGCCGGACCCCAGGGGUGUCGGACGGUGGGCAGGGCCUCCUGGGAUCCCUGAGGCGCCGGCAGGAGGAGACGCCCUGGGGUCGGUGCCGCCACCUUCCCGUCCGGGCGGUUACAGCUUUCCCGCGUUCGCUGUCAGAGGCAGGGACCGGCGACCUCGGGGGCCUGGUCCCUGAGCCACAGCGGGGAGUCGUCCGAGCAUCUCGGGAUGAGGAAGGAGCCUGUGACUGACUACAGCAGGAGAGCAGGCGUGGCAUGGAUCCCGUGCAAGCCGGCAGUGGAGACCCAGCACCUGAGAGUGACGUGGGGAACUACAAGGAGCUAGAAGUGACUUAGGCCGAGCUUUUGUAAAGAUGAGGUGUGAGUGUAAUAUCAGGAUGAUUUGACUGCAAGCAACAGAGAAUCAAACAGAAAUGGCCUAGGGAGUCCCUUCGUGGCUCCCCAGUUAACAAUCUGACUGGAUCAUGAGGAUGCAGGUUCAAUCCCCGGCCUCUAUCAGUGGGCGAAGGAUCUAGUGCUACCAUGAGCUGUGCUGUGGUGUAGGCUGGCGGCCGCAGCUCCAGUUGGACCGCUAGCCCGGGAACUUCCAUAUGCUGUGGGUGCAGCCCUAAAAAGCAAAAACAAACAAAAAAAAUGAAACAAAACAAAACAAAAAAUCCACAAAAAAAAUCAGAAAUGGCCUAAACAAAGAAGAAAACAUGUUAUCCCAUACUACAAGAAGUUUGGGGGUUGAGUGGUUAAACGCAUGAUUAGUUUAGAAACUUGACAGCACCACCCAGGACCCAUUUUCCCUAAGGCGCUGCUGCCCCCCACCCUGUAGGCUUAGCCACCGCAGCAAAGACACCCCCCUUCCCCAACCAGAGCCCUGCGUCAGGACUGGAAGGGGCCUCCUUCCCUCCAUCCCCUUCCAGAACCUCGGCAGAAGACUCCCCUUGACGUCUCAUUCCAUCCCAUACUGGUCACUUUGCAGGGGAACGGAUUUACCAUGGUGGCCAGAGACAAUUAAGUCGCCCCCAUCUCUGGAGAACACUUGACCACUCAGUACCCAGCAACUCGGGUACUCCUGGCAAGAAAGAGACAGGUGAUACCCACUGGGUCCUGUCCACAGCGCCUGCCCCCAGCAACCUGUCUACCUGGAAAACUGAGGGGGUGCCACGCGGGUCUGUGUCUUCUCUGUAGUUUGCCCGAGUCUUUCCCAUUAGGUAAGUGUCGCCCUUUUCCCUCUUUGCGGCUUUCCUCCUUGGCACGUCACCCAGGUUUUGUUCAGCCACAAGGGGCGAUAGGCUGAAAGAGGAAUCUCCAGGCCUAGGUGAUGGGCCAGCCGUGGUGAUCCUCACCCGUUUGCCUGGGCACCGUUUGGGAAACGUCCCCCUGCUCACCACGGAGAUGAAAGACCAGGUCCCUGGAGGGGCUUCGCGGAAGGAUUUUUCACCCCAGUAAAGCGGAAGACAAGCCAGGGGUGUCCUGCCCUACGCGCCGUCUGCCUCUGAGCCGCCGCCAGCUCACACCCUUGAGCAGAAACGUUGCAGGGAGGCAGAAAGGGCCGAGUCUCAUGGAUUGUGCUGAGCGUUGCAUCCACCCAGGACUGCUUACCUUCAGACUUCUGCUCCGGUGGCAGAGCAGCAAACCCCUAUUGUGUAAGCCUUUGUAGAUGGCUGGUGCCACUUGCUGCUGAAAGUGACAGAUAAUCUUUCUAGGAAUAUAACCCCUAAAGCCCUUUAUGGUAACAGAUGCACUUAGAGAAUGUAGUUUUCUUUCUUUUUCUUACUUAAAAAAAAAAAAAGCUGAAGUCUGCCUCAGGCAAAAAGACAAACUGAAAACAUAUGUAUGCAUAAUUGAAGUGCAAUCAAUAUUCAUUAGAAAAUGAACGAAUGUUCUUCAGGUUACUUUAAUAGUUUUCUCAGGGAAUCUGUUUUUGGAUACGUAUGUCAGCUACAAUAUUUGGCACUUCCAGGAGCUCUGUGUUGAUGUCCUUCCUAGAAAUUGCACUUCUGCGCAUUUUUCUGCGCCUUUGGGGUCUCAGAUGUUCCUGGAAGGAAUCACUUUUCACUCCCCUGGCUUUUCCCUCGAACAGGUAACUUGUAACUUGCUGUUGCCUAUAGAUAUCGAGCAUUUGUCCAAAAAUAUGUUCCUACAAUACCUUCCUGUCUCAGCCAUUCCAUUCACAAGACAGUUUAAACAUUUCUCCAUACUAUUCCACACAUCAUUCAUAGAGGAACCAUCUGAACCAUGCAACAAAGUCUAGAAACUUUUAUGACUUUUAACUUCCACGACAAGUUAUCAUGUACUUGGUACCCUCAGCCAGGUACAUGUUAAGCUCAGGUUUCAUGUAGGUUAGCGUGGAGCCAUAUUUCCUUGUGGAUAAACCUAUAGAUUUAUCCCCACCCCCGCUUCCCUUCCCAGAAGUAACUGUUGCCUUGACAACAGGGUAAGGACAGCAGUGAUGACGGCUGUGAUAACGAUUAUGAUAAUGAUGGCAGGAGAAACUGUAUGCUGGCCAUUAUCUAAGCACUUUACAUGCAUUAGCUCCUUUAACGCCCAAGGAGGCAUGUGACAGAAAUGCUAUUUUUAUCCCCGUGUUAGAGAUGAGGGCUGAGGAAAGACUGGUGAGGUGCCUUGCCCAAGGCCACACGUCUGGUCCCCAGAGAAGCCAGGCUUCCUACCCAGGCAACCCAGGGGUCCCAUACACUGUCGCUGCCUGAUAGGUAGCAGUGGUGGUGAUACACACUUCCUCUAGGUACAUGCGCAUCCAUAAUAAAGACGCAGUAGACUUAUUUGCAUAUUUAAAAAAGUGUAUGGUUUCAGAACAUUUGUUGUUUUUCCCUGUUAUGAAUCGUGUCGCAGUAAACGUCUCGCGUGCAUCAC
Molecule: long non-coding RNA, 2910 nt
Filed under: Sus scrofa (pig)
Lineage: Eukaryota; Metazoa; Chordata; Mammalia; Artiodactyla; Suidae
Description: lncRNA (ENSSSCG00050054872.1)
Source: RNAcentral